This 804-nucleotide ribosomal RNA is filed under the name uncultured bacterium. RNAcentral's name for it is "bacterial SSU rRNA". It matches the Rfam family "Bacterial small subunit ribosomal RNA", at positions 51 to 838 of the family's 1533-position model. The record is from RNAcentral.
AGAAUGCAGUCGAACGGGACAACAUUUGUAGCAAUACAGAUGUUGUUUAGUGGCGAACGGGUGCGUAACACGUGGGCAAUCUGCCGAGAAGUGGGGGAUAGCUCGCCGAAAGGCGAAUUAAUACCGCAUAUGGUCAGGGAAGACAUCUUUCCGAAUCCAAAGCCGGGGCAACCUGGCGCUUUUUGAGGAGCCCGCGGCCUAUCAGCUAGUUGGUGAGGUAACGGCUCACCAAGGCUAUGACGGGUAGCUGGUCUGAGAGGACGACCAGUCACACUGGAACUGAGACACGGUCCAGACACCUACGGGUGGCAGCAGUCGAGAAUUUUUCUCAAUGGGGGCAACCCUGAAGGAGCGACGCCGCGUGGAGGAUGAAGGCUUUCGGGUUGUAAACUCCUGUCAUUUGAGAACAAGUGUGAGCAAGUAACUACUGCUCAUUUGAUAGUAUCAGAAGAGGAAGGGACGGCUAACUCUGUGCCAGCAGCCGCGGUAAUACAGAGGUCCCAAGCGUUGUUCGGAUUCAUUGGGCGUAAAGGGUGCGUAGGUGGCGCCGUAAGUCGGGUGUGAAAUUUCGGAGCUUAACUCCGAAACUGCAUUCGAUACUGCGGUGCUUGAGGACUGGAGAGGAGACUGGAAUUCAUGGUGUAGCAGUGAAAUGCGUAGAGAUCAUGAGGAAGACCAGUGGCGAAGGCGGGUCUCUGGACAGUUCCUGACACUGAGGCACGAAGGCCAGGGGAGCAAACGGGAUAGAUACCCCGGUAGUCCUGGCAGUAAACGGUGCACGUUUGGUGUGGGAGGAUUCGACCC